Molecule: ribosomal RNA, 519 nt
Filed under: Klebsiella ornithinolytica
Lineage: Bacteria; Pseudomonadati; Pseudomonadota; Gammaproteobacteria; Enterobacterales; Enterobacteriaceae
Description: Raoultella ornithinolytica partial 23S ribosomal RNA
Rfam family: Bacterial large subunit ribosomal RNA
Source: RNAcentral
ACUUACCAACCCGAUGCAAACUACGAAUACCGAAGAAUGUUAUCACGGGAGACACACGGCGGGUGCUAACGUCCGUCGUGAAGAGGGAAACAACCCAGACCGCCAGCUAAGGUCCCAAAGUCAUGGUUAAGUGGGAAACGAUGUGGGAAGGCACAGACAGCCAGGAUGUUGGCUUAGAAGCAGCCAUCAUUUAAAGAAAGCGUAAUAGCUCACUGGUCGAGUCGGCCUGCGCGGAAGAUGUAACGGGGCUAAACCAUGCACCGAAGCUGCGGCAGCGACACUAUGUGUUGUUGGGUAGGGGAGCGUUCUGUAAGCCGUUGAAGGUGGCCUGUGAGGGUUGCUGGAGGUAUCAGAAGUGCGAAUGCUGACAUAAGUAACGAUAAAGCGGGUGAAAAGCCCGCUCGCCGGAAGACCAAGGGUUCCUGUCCAACGUUAAUCGGGGCAGGGUGAGUCGACCCCUAAGGCGAGGCCGAAAGGCGUAGUCGAUGGGAAACAGGUUAAUAUUCCUGUACUCGGUGU